AAAGGUUCCAUUUCUAGUUUAUAAAGUUGGAUGAAUAACACAUAUUUAGGAUCAGUCGCCACACAACCUCUCUCCUGCCAACAUACGCACAUAACUUGAAUUUAUAUUUUAGUACAUAUUUAAAUAUUUGGAGUCACCAUUGCCACGAGGUUGGAAUUAUACUCACUUAACCACCUUACACAAUUUCCUACAAAAUUUCCACACUUACAUAAUUCGGAAAUUAUUAACUUCAGCUAAAAACUCACGUGCAGAUAGAUUCUACCAUGGGCGCCACCCAAACCACCUUCUGCAACGAGGCGGCCGUCCCGAUAAGCACCGGCUUAUCGGCCGGCAUCACGUACUACUCCACCGCGACGCUGCUCCCCCAAUGGUGCGUCCGUUAUGACGUGGGUCGCGUUUGGUUCACCGCGUUCGCGUUUCUCUCCUCGGCCCGCUACGACGCGCCCGUCGGACUUAAUCAGAUUUACUUCCUCACCAACGAAACGACCGCGGUCGGCGCGCAGUUCACGGGGCAAUUUGACAUUCCGAUACAACCCGUUCUAAAGUACAUACACGUUGCGGAGGAGGACGCGAACAAUCUCAUGGCCGCAGGGGACGGCUUUGUCCAGAAUAAUUUGUUCAAAGUGAGCGGAGCCAUAUCGGCCGCGUUGGACAGCGAGUACACAGAAUUGACGGGCUAGUAUGCCGGAAAAAAUCACAAAAUCAGCGUCUCGGGUGGGCCUACGGUGGCCAUAAGAGGAAUUGACGAUUACAACAUUCUCGUGUAUAUAUUACCUUUUAAGGAAAAAUUUGAACCGUUUAUAAUGCGUGUUGAUUGAUUGCUAAGUAGCGUGGGUAAACGUUGUAACUGAUUUUUCAUGUUAUUUUCAAAUUAAUGUGUCCUCCUUUGAAAUUGAAUUGGUUUUAUGAAUUACUAUUUAUGACCCCCAUAGGUCUUUGCUUAAAUUAUUUAGUUUUAUCCACUUUAAGUAUAAAUUAAAUAUUUCGGUAUGAUUUUGUGUAUUUACAUCAUACAUGUCAAUAUUUUCGCCUAGACGUCCAUACAACCUAAAUAAAUGUAUGUAUGAGUUUUAUUUAAUCAGAAUAAAUACAUCUGAAAAAUUGUUUUGUGAAUAAAAUAAAAUACGACGUUUACUUUCAUAAUUUCUUAA
This is a long non-coding RNA of Folsomia candida, 1151 nucleotides long. RefSeq lists it as uncharacterized. NCBI's taxonomy places the organism in Eukaryota, Metazoa, Arthropoda, Collembola, Entomobryomorpha, Isotomidae. The record is from RefSeq and is a predicted model, not a curated record. The transcript is spliced from 2 exons.